Triticum dicoccoides is the source of this 1284-nucleotide long non-coding RNA. RefSeq lists it as uncharacterized. NCBI's taxonomy places the organism in Eukaryota, Viridiplantae, Streptophyta, Magnoliopsida, Poales, Poaceae. The transcript has 3 exons. The record is from RefSeq and is a predicted model, not a curated record.
UAUUUCUUUAUAGAGGGAGUAUCUAAUAAUAUUUAUUUAAUGUUAUAGAUGUAGAUAUUUUCCUCUAUAAAUGUAGUCAAAGUAGGGGGAGUUUGACUUUUGAAAUUUCCUAUGUGCACUACAUUUAGGAAUAGAGGGAGUAUCAGUAUUCCCCAAUAGGCAGUAAAGUGUGCCAUUUAGUAGCUCCUUUCAUGCUUGAUUAUGAUUAUUAAUUUUGCCCAUUUGGCACUAAGGUAUGCCAUUGGGUAGAUAGAGGAACUGCGAGAAAAAUAAAACAUAAUUAGGAAUUGCAAGAAAAAAUCCACACUUUUUUGCACCCAUUCAUCAUACUGGUAGUGUAGAUUUAAUGGAUGGUUAUGGUAAACUGUGUUCUUUCUGUAAAAGUAAGUGCUUAGUGUCCCAACAUAACUUGUGCCUUUACUGGGAGUGUAGAUAAAAAAUAUUCAUCAUUGCAGCUGGAUUAUCUCCAUUUACUCUUACCUGUGAAUUUUGAUCAGAAACCUGGACUCUGUUGUUGCAUCCUUACUUUUAAUACUGGUUAUUACUUUGCCUAUUUGCCUUCCUAAGUGUCCAGUGGACUCGUUAGCAAUAACCUGUAUUUCUGCAAUUAAGAUGGACUGGAUGUUAUGUGGUACUAAGUGCCUGUUCGGAAACUCUCCCAUCCCUUAAACUCCGCUCCGCUCGAGAGCUGGUUUCAAGCAACUCCCUGCUUUCGUGUUGGCGCUCCCUCCGCUCCGGGAGCCGCAGUGAGGGACCGGAGAGAAUCCGAACAGAGCCUAAAUGCAUCAUCUGUGUGACAGUAAUUUAUGAUAGCAGGUUGUUUUAGUCCAUUUCAGGUAUUUUGGAGGCUCACUUCUAACGGAGGAAGCAGAGAGAAGUUUUCCGUACAUUAUGUUAAUUAAGUUUCGUUGAAUCGUAAUAGAGCUUCCGUAUUAUGGAAGGCGAGAUGUGGUCGGCCAGUCGUGUGGAAUAUGUUGUCAAAUUAUUGUUACUUUUUUGUGAAAGGCACCUUCCCACUACAUUUAUCUGGUGAUAGACCAAAUGUGACGAGACGGGGGAGAUAAGGUGGAAUAAAGCAGUAUAAGAUGGGGUACUACUAUAGUAAAAAGAACCAUGUUGAUGGCGAGUUAUUUGGAAAUAGUGAAGAUUAUUGUGCCCCAAUGCCUAUUGAUGGAUCACGCAUGGCAGUCUUGGUGGCGCCACCAUGCAUGCGUGGGAUCGACAGGAGCGAAUUAGCGGUCCCAGCCGACGAGUGAGAGGAGGAAGGUUUGGUAGUUCCCCGAC